UCCUUCUUCUCCUUCUUCUCUUCUCCCCCUUUCUCUCUCUUCUCUCUAUUCUGCUCCCUCUUUUUUUCUUCUUCGCCUGUGUCGAGCGAAUGACUUAAACUGGUAAAUGUUAAUAUGAUCAGCGACCGCCAUUAGCGACCGCACGCGGGCGCUGAUUUUUAAUGACAUGGACACAUCAGCGAUCGCCUAGCGGUCGCUGAUAGAGAUUGGUCGCAAAAAAUAAACGCGCCAAUAUUUGGCACCAAUUUUUGGGAGGGAAAAUUAAUCCAGUGACCGCAUGCGGUCGCUGAUAAUGAUUAACAACUAGAAGCAAUUUCAGUUGCAAAUAGCUGUCGCUAUUAUUGAUAUCAGCGACCGGAAAGGGCGGUCGCUGAAAGGUUUGGUCGCAGAUAGAGAAUUUUCUUGUAGUGUGAGAGAUGGUCAUAUUUAUUUAUCUGUUCUUGAUUAACAAUUCAGAAUAGUAAGCAUAAUUAAUAAGACGUGUAUUGCUUUAAGUGAAGCAAAAUUAAAGUGAAGUUGUAAUCUUAAAUCUCCAUAAUCUGAUUUUUAACUAGUGGUAAUUAGAAUUAUUUUAAUUAAAUAAUUUAAUUUAUAACCUUCAAUUGAUUGUUUAAAUAAAAUUAGUUCGGUUAAGAGUUAGUAUUUGGUAAUUUGUAUUAAUAAUUCCUCGUGGGAACGAUACUCUACUUACACUUUAUUACUUGUUGACCACGUAUACUUGCGUGUUGUGCAUAAUUAGAUUACACCCAACAAAGGCAUAUGUAUAUAGAAAAAGAGAAGAAUCCAAUUUCCAUAAAGAAAAUGAUUUGAAUAGAUCUCCCUCAAUCUAUGAAAAUUAUUUAUUCCCGUGGAAAAAUGGAAACAAGAUAUUUUUAUUUAUGUUGUCUCCAUCAAAUAUUCAACUUUAUUCAGCUUCCAAAUAAUUAAGGAAUUGAAACAUGAAGAUUUGACAAAAUUAAGAAGAUUUGACAAGACCAUGCUGGAGAUCCUAGGAGGGACUUCCCAUCAUGUUUCGGACCCCUAAGGGAUUCCUCUCUUAGGCACUUCAUUUUUUCUAAGUCUUCAAAAGCAUAUUUCGGGAAUUGUUCAAAAAAUUAAAACGGGACUUCAAACUUGAAGUGUUAUGCACAUUUGUCACUCAAAAGACGCGACUCAUGUCCAUGGGGGAAAAUGUGGACCCAAGUAUUAAUUAGGGUUCACAUGUGGCCUAAAAAAUAAAUGGAAAAUGAAAAAGUCAAAAAUAAAUGAACAAAAGAAUAAAUGAACAAAAAGGGAAACACGUAGGAUUUUUGCCCCUUAGGGUUUGGCCACCCUAGGGUUCAAUCACCCCUAGGUGGUCCCACUUUGUGUUAAACUUUGGCAAUAACUUUCCUGAUUGAAGUUGAUUUAAACUACCGGAAUGAUACAAGGAAAAAAACAAGGAUACGAACCAAAGAAUAACAAGAAAAUUUGGGUGGCCCUAGUCACCCUAUGGUUCGGCCAUCCUAGGGUUAGGUCACCCUAGGGGGUGGCUUCCUAGGUGGCACACCUCUUUUUUUUGUUUAAUGUUAUGUCGGACGAGCACUGAGCGAUGUAAUGACGGAAUAACAAGUUUAAAAUCAAGAAAAGUGACAAGAAAACUCAUGAGAAUUUAGGAAUGAUUUUCCUUGAAUCCUCCGUAACAAGAGAAGCUUCUUACAGGAUCGAAAUCACGAGAAACUGAGCAAGAAUAAAAGCCAAGUCAAAUGAAGGAUGUCGAGGGAGACACGAACCUAGGGUUUGGCCCUCCCCUAGGAUUCGAUCCCCUAGGGCUUGGCCACCCAUGGGCCAUAACAAAGACCUCCGAAGCAUUUCAACGAUAAAUUUGAGGCAACUCAUCAUAAGAAAUAUUUGAGGGAUUUUGAUUGGCAGCUAGAUGGACAAGAAGAUUUAGACAUCACUUUUGUGACGACACCAAAAUCGGAUCUAUUUCUCUUUCUGAUCUUGUGCGUCAAAUACUAUAUUGAUCUAGCUUUAAAAUAUUAUUCAAUGUUAAAAUAGUUUAAAAUACAAGAUAAUUUAAAACAUUACUGUCUUUCUUUCUAUUCCUUGCGUUCCCUGAAUCGCAACCGUUACGAUUUUACUUUAUGUAGAAAUCAUAUUUAUUUUAUGAUUUAUUUUAUCAGAGUGAUAUGAGUAUAAUAUAACCCUUGAUUUGAUAAAUUUUUAUUUCCCACAUUCUUGAUCUAUUUACAUUGAAUUUUGGAGAUAGUAUAUGUGAUGUACUCACCUACUUUAGAAAAUUAUAAACUAAUCUUUACGGAUUAAUUAGCAAACUCAAACACAACGUUAAACUAGCUUGCCAAAACAGCCAUGUUGUUAAUUGCCUACAGUUGACUGCUGCUGCCGAUGGGCGGCAGCCCCUUCUCCUUAACUCGUAUUUUGACAAUUUAUAUCUUGCAUUUGAUUAGUUCGAUUAGGCUGAAUGUUGGAUAUAUACGUGGUAUACCUACCUAUUAUAAAAAAACAGCAACCAAACAUGUUGGGUCAAUAUCACAUAACAAUUGGGAGUGCAAAGGAGGCUCCCCACCCCACCCCCACAUACAUGCUGCUCUACAGCGACUGCUGGUGCCAUUGGCAGCAGCCUUGCAUACAACAUGCUAACUUCUUGACUUCAUUACUUCUAGCUCAUAUGGUGAAUUACAACAAAUUUUAAAUAUGUUAUAUAUAGCAUAUGAGACUAUAUUUAAAAAUUAUAACCUCCCUAUUUCGAACUUUUUAGGCUGCCCAAAACAGUGCUAAAAAAAUGGCUUGACAUACUAAUUUUGUGAGUUUUCGUUUUGGCUUCAAUUCAAACUGCCUUUCGUACUAUUUUGAUUCCUUCAAACCCUUUAACUAACUGUAUAAAAUUUUCAUACAUAUAAUCUUAAACUUUGGCUUUUGCCAAAUUCUUGAUUUUUAAGUAAAACAGUCCAUAUAGGACUUUUAGCGAACAUUUUUUUGCGUUGUUUUGAAAUGCAAAUUUCAUAACCAUUCUUUUGUAUUCCAAACCCAUUUUAGCCUCCUUAUAACUCCACACAACCAACCUAUACCCGUUAGUUCUAAUUCAAGUCCAUAACAUUCAACUGUAUAGUUAAAACAAUUAUACACUACAAGUUUACUACUUUCUUUUUUUUUCCUUUCAAAGUUCUUCUUACAGUUGAUUCCCACAUAAUUAUAAUAUAUCAAUUUCUGAUGUUAGGUAUACAUAGCAUCUAGUGAUAACUCUGUUUUACACAACCAACUUUUAACAAUUUCACACAAAUUACUAGUUUUUCAAUGUAAACCAAAGAAAAGGAACUUACUUUUGAUUGUUUGCUUGAAUUGGUUGAUAGCUACUCCAAUUUAGUUGAUUAAGUAAUCCUUUACUACUAUUUCGCCCAAUCCGUCUUUCAAUUGCAGCAUAAAACUUGAAUUACUUAGUGAUUAGUCUAAGUUUGGUGGGGGUCUUAUAAACUCGGAGUCGGAGUCGGAGUCGGAGUAGAAGAGAAUUGGGGCUUUAGCUUGAGAGCAUUUAUAUGCUUAGUAACUUUUGUAUGCUAAUAAGAGUUUUUUUUAAGAAACGUUUAAAGCUUUUAAAAUUAUCAGACUU
RNAcentral lists this long non-coding RNA (3589 nucleotides) under Panax ginseng (ginseng). RNAcentral describes it as "long non-coding RNA (PGIN_LNC004301)". Lineage: Eukaryota; Viridiplantae; Streptophyta; Magnoliopsida; Apiales; Araliaceae. The record is from RNAcentral.